GACGAACGCUGGCGGCGUGCUUAACACAUGCAAGUCGAACGGAAAGGCCCUGCUUGCAGGGUACUCGAGUGGCGAACGGGUGAGUAACACGUGGGUGAUCUGCCCUGCACUUCGGGAUAAGCCUGGGAAAUUGGGUCUAAUACCGGAUAGGAGCCAUUUUUAGUGUGAUGGUUGGAAAGUUUUUUCGGUGUAGGAUGAGCUCGCGGCCUAUCAGCUUGUUGGUGGGGUAAUGGCCUACCAAGGCGGCGACGGGUAGCCGGCCUGAGAGGGUGGACGGCCACAUUGGGACUGAGAUACGGCCCAGACUCCUACGGGAGGCAGCAGUGGGGAAUAUUGCACAAGGGGCGCAAGCCUGAUGCAGCGACGCCGCGGGGGGGAUGACGGCCUUCGGGUUGUAAACUCCUUUCGCUAGGGACGAAGCUUUUUGUGACGGUACCUAGAUAAGAAGCACCGGCUAACUACGUG
This 465-nucleotide ribosomal RNA is filed under the name uncultured bacterium. RNAcentral's name for it is "partial 16S ribosomal RNA". It matches the Rfam family "Bacterial small subunit ribosomal RNA", at positions 28 to 507 of the family's 1533-position model. The record is from RNAcentral.